Molecule: ribosomal RNA, 550 nt
Filed under: uncultured bacterium
Lineage: Bacteria
Description: bacterial SSU rRNA
Rfam family: Bacterial small subunit ribosomal RNA
Source: RNAcentral
AGCGGCGGACGGGUGAGUAAUGCCUAGGAAAUUGCCCUGAUGUGGGGGAUAACCAUUGGAAACGAUGGCUAAUACCGCAUAAUGCCUACGGGCCAAAGAGGGGGACCUUCGGGCCUCUCGCGUCAGGAUAUGCCUAGGUGGGAUUAGCUAGUUGGUGAGGUAAGGGCUCACCAAGGCGACGAUCUCUAGCUGGUCUGAGAGGAUGAUCAGCCACACUGGAACUGAGACACGGUCCAGACUCCUACGGGAGGCAGCAGUGGGGAAUAUUGCACAAUGGGCGCAAGCCUGAUGCAGCCAUGCCGCGUGUAUGAAGAAGGCCUUCGGGUUGUAAAGUACUUUCAGCAGUGAGGAAGGUGGGUAUGUUAAUAGCAUAUUCAUUUGACGUUAGCUACAGAAGAAGCACCGGCUAACUCCGUGCCAGCAGCCGCGGUAAUACGGAGGGUGCGAGCGUUAAUCGGAAUUACUGGGCGUAAAGCGCAUGCAGGUGGUUUGUUAAGUCAGAUGUGAAAGCCCGGGGCUCAACCUCGGAAUUGCAUUUGAAACUGGCAAA